GAUGAAGAACGUAGCGAAAUGCGAUAAGUAGUGUGAAUUGCAGAAUUCAGUGAAUCAUCGAAUCUUUGAACGCACAUUGCGCCCCUUGGUAUUCCAUGGGGCAUGCCUGUUCGAGCAUCAUUUGUACCUUCAAGCUUUGCUUGGUGUUGGGUGUUUGUCUCGCCUUUGCGCGUAGACUCGCCUUAAAAUAAUUGGCAGCCGGCGUAUUGAUUUCGGAGCGCAGUACAUCUCGCGCUUUGCACUCAUAACGACAGCGUCCAAAAGUACAUUUUACACUCUUGACCUCGGAUCAGGUAGGGAUACCCGCUGAACUUAAGCAUAUCAAUAAGCGGAGGA
RNAcentral lists this unclassified non-coding RNA (336 nucleotides) under soil metagenome. Its description in RNAcentral is "partial contains 5.8S ribosomal RNA, internal transcribed spacer 2, and large subunit ribosomal RNA". The stretch from base 1 to 120 matches the Rfam family "5.8S ribosomal RNA", at positions 35 to 154 of the family's 154-position model. The record is from RNAcentral.